Long non-coding RNA from Piliocolobus tephrosceles (Ugandan red Colobus), 1986 nucleotides. The record is from Ensembl. NCBI's taxonomy places the organism in Eukaryota, Metazoa, Chordata, Mammalia, Primates, Cercopithecidae.
CACAGUACAUACUAAAAAUGCUCAUGUUACUACUAAUAACACAAAUGGUAAUGUAAAAACGAAUGAGAAAAAAAAAAAAGGAACACAAAAAGAAGAAGUUGAAGUAAAAGUAGACAUAGAGGGAGAAGUUGAAGGUGAGACAGGAGCAGCAGACGUAGUUGGUAAGGACGAAUUGAAACAAAUAGAUGAAACAAAAAAUUUAAAAAGAAUGUUUAAAUUAUUGGAUGAUGAAAGAAAAAAAACAGUAAACGAGUUAAAUAAAAAAAUUACAAAAGUGAUAAAGAAAAAGAGUAACAAGAGUAAUGGUAAUGUAGAUUUGAAUGAAAUAAACGAAACAGAAGAAAAGAAAAGAGUAGAGUUAGAAAAUAUAAUUAAUGAAAUAAAUAUAGCUGUAACGAAAAAUAAUACGAUCCCUAAUAAUAGUAACAACACUGCUGCAACUUCUAAAUAUGCAAAAACGAAAUUAACUUGUGCCGAAAUAGAGAAUCGAAUUAAAGAAGUGAAAUUACAAAAAAAAAAAACAAAUACCAAAGAGGUGGAACAAAUAAAAGAAAUCGACACUUAUAUUACAUUUUUGGAAGAGCAAUUAUGUAUUGCUAAAAACUAUGACAAUUUUAAAACAUAUCAAAAUCAAUUAUAUGGUUUGAAAACACAAUGUAAAGAAGAAAUGCAAAAAAUAGAUCAAUAUUUAAAUACUUUAAAAGAGCAGGAAAAAACAUUAGCAUAUACAAAUAAAAUUAUAAAAAUGAAAGAAGAACAACAAGGAAUAAAAAUAAAUGCAUCUAAUGUGUUUAGUAAAGAAUAUGUGAUAAAGAAUGAUAAAUAUAAUAUGCUUACAAAACCUUUUAACUUUAUAAAAAGAAUUGCAAAUAAAUAUUGUGUUUUUAUAGAUAGGUUAAAUACAAAUGAAAAUAAAAGUUACAAUUUAUUGAUAGUAGGUUGUAAUGAAGAUAUAGAAAGUUGUAUAUCGUUUUUGGAAAAUAUAAACAAUAACGAAAGAAAUGUGGUACAAAUAAAUAAAAAUGUUGUUAAAAAUAUGUUUAACAUUGUAGAUGGUAAAAUAAAAAAAAUAGAAGAAGAUACGAAUGUUUUUAUACAAUUAGAUAGUAAUGAUUGUUUGUAUUAUUGUGGUAUGAAACAGGAUAUACAUAAAUUAAAAAAAUUAAUUGAAGAAGCUACCGAAGAACAUAAUUCUUAUGCAAAAUCUAUGACUAAAAGUAUUAAUUUGAAUUAUUUAAAAGCUAGAGGAUUUGAUAGGAGUUUAUUAAAGUCUAUAGAACAAAACACAAAUACAAUGAUUAGGAUUAAGUAUGAUGUAAAUACAAAAGAAGCAGUGGCUGAAGUGAAGGGAAAAAACAGUACAGAUAUAGAAGAGGCAGAAAAACAAAUUUGUAAUCUUGUAGAUAGUUUACAUACUAAGUCUAUUGAAUAUGGUAAAAAUGAAAGAUUUAACAUUGUUAGAAGAUGUGGUUACGAAUUGAAUGAUAUUAAAAACAAAUUAAAUGUAUUUGUUAUGAGAAAUGAUACUGGAUUUGAUUUUGUUGGUUCAGAAGAAAAUAUAAAAAAAGCACAAGAAGUAUUAGAUUAUGCAUUAAAUGUUAAACUUAUUACAUCUAUUAAAAAAACAUUAACAGAAGAAGAAUCUUAUUUAUUUAAUGCAAAUUUCCGUAAUCAAAUUAAAGCAAAAACAGGAGCAGAAGUAAAGAUAUAUAAUAAAGAUGAUUAUAAAGAAUUAAAUAUAAGUGGUAAUAAAACAGAUAUAGACAAUGCUUUACAAAUGAUAGAAGAAUUAUUAAGAGAAAAAAAAUGUACAGAGAUAGCAAUUAAUGAAGAUGUAAUAGCUUUAUUAUUAUCAGCCAAAGCACAAAAAAUAAAAGAUAUUGAAAAGGACACAUGUACUAGUAUACAAAUAAAUAAAAAUACAUAUGUAGCACAAAUAUAUGGUAGCGAGGCUAAUAUUAAAGCAGCAAAAGAUAUUUUAGAACA